CUUAACCUGAAAUGCACGAUAACUCUUGUUCGUUUUUGAACCUACAUUUACUUUAAACGGGAUUCCUAUAUUGCCAGUUGGCUGUCAAGCCCUCACUCGCCGGGUCUUUGGCCUGAGAGGAUUGGAAGGGAAGGCAAAAGGCUGGUUGCGGUUGCCCACCUAGCAUUGCUAGGAGUCAAAAAACAAGGGGCGGCAUUUCGGGGAUAUA
Molecule: non-coding RNA, 208 nt
Filed under: Candidatus Acetatifactor stercoripullorum
Lineage: Bacteria; Bacillati; Bacillota; Clostridia; Lachnospirales; Lachnospiraceae
Description: 6S RNA
Rfam family: 6S / SsrS RNA
About the family: E. coli 6S RNA was the first non coding RNA to be sequenced, but its function was unknown until recently. It consists of 184 nucleotides that fold into an extended hairpin structure with a large single-stranded internal bulge.
Source: RNAcentral